GGCAGCAGAGGGAAAGCACAAGGGCGAAAGCCGAGCAGCAACGCCGCGGCGCGAGAAGGCCCGGGCGAAUGCGCCGGGGGGAGAGAAAGGACCGACCCCCGGAAAAGCCGGCAACAC
Molecule: ribosomal RNA, 117 nt
Filed under: uncultured bacterium
Lineage: Bacteria
Description: partial 16S ribosomal RNA
Source: RNAcentral